CGGCUCAGUAACACGUGGACAACUUACCCUCAGGACAGGUAUAAACCCGGGAAACUGGGUAUAAUCCCUGAUAGUCCUCGACUGCUGGAAUGCACCGAGGCCGAAAGCUCCGGCGCCUGAGGAUGGGUCUGCGGCCUAUCAGGUAGUAGUGGGUCUAAAGUACCUACUAGCCUACGACGGGUACGGGUUGUGAGAGCAAGAGCCCGGAGAUGGAUUCUGAGACACGAAUCCAGGCCCUACGGGGUGCAGCAGGCGCGAAAACUUUACAAUGCCGGCAACGGCGAUAAGGGGACCUCGAGUGCCAGGUUACAAAUCUGGCUGUCGUGAUGCCUAAAAAAAGCAUUGCAUAGCAAGGGCCGGGCAAGACCGGUGCCAGCCGCCGCGGUAACACCGGCGGCUCGAGUGGUAACCGUUAUUAUUGGGUCUAAAGGGUCUGUAGCCGGCCGGAUAAGUCUCUUGGGAAAUCCAGCAGCUCAACUGUUGGGCUUCCAGGAGAUACUGUCUGGCUCGAGGCCGGGAGAGGUGAGAGGUACUUCAGGGGUAGGGGUGAAAUCUUGUAAUCCUUGAAGGACCACCAGUGGCGAAGGCGUCUCACCAGAACGGACCUGACGGCAAGGGACGAAAGCUAGGGGCACGAACCGGAUUAGAUACCCGGGUAGUCCUAGCCG
This 668-nucleotide ribosomal RNA is filed under the name uncultured Methanosaeta sp. RNAcentral describes it as "bacterial SSU rRNA". It matches the Rfam family "Archaeal small subunit ribosomal RNA", at positions 83 to 753 of the family's 1478-position model. Lineage: Archaea; Methanobacteriati; Methanobacteriota; Methanomicrobia; Methanotrichales; Methanotrichaceae. The record is from RNAcentral.